Molecule: non-coding RNA, 24 nt
Filed under: Arabidopsis thaliana (thale cress)
Lineage: Eukaryota; Viridiplantae; Streptophyta; Magnoliopsida; Brassicales; Brassicaceae
Source: RNAcentral
UCUCUCUUGCAGCCGUGACAUGAC